Molecule: ribosomal RNA, 420 nt
Filed under: uncultured bacterium
Lineage: Bacteria
Description: bacterial SSU rRNA
Rfam family: Bacterial small subunit ribosomal RNA
Source: RNAcentral
GAGGAAUAUUGGUCAAUGGGCGAGAGCCUGAACCAGCCAAGUCGCGUGAAGGAAGACGGCCUUAUGGGUUGUAAACUUCUUUUGCAGGGGAAUAAAAAGGAGUACGUGUACUCUAUUGCAUGUACCCUGCGAAUAAGCAUCGGCUAACUCCGUGCCAGCAGCCGCGGUAAUACGGAGGAUGCGAGCGUUAUCCGGAUUUAUCGGGUUUAAAGGGUGCGCAGGCGGGCUUUUAAGUCAGCGGUGAAAUCUGGUCGCUUAACGAUCAAACUGCCGUUGAAACUGGGAGUCUUGAGUAUAGAUGAAGUAGGCGGAAUUCGUUGUGUAGCGGUGACAUGCUUAGAUAUAACGAGGAACUCCGAUCGCGUAGGCAGCUUACUAAACUAUAACUGACGUUCAAGCACGAAAGCGUGGGGAUCAAAC